GUGUGUGUCCAAGCAGCAAGUCUGAGAACGAGUGAAAUGCUUUUUCUCUCAAGGACAAGCUGUGAUGGGGAGCGAAAUUUAGUAGCGAAGUUCCUGAUGUCACACUGCCAAGAAAAGCUUCUAGUGAGAAAGUAACUGCCCGUACCGCAAACCGACACAGGUAGUUGAGGAGAGAAUCCUAAGGUGUGCGAGAGAACUCUCGUUAAGGAACUCGGCAAAAUGACCCCGUAACUUCGGGAGAAGGGGUGCUGACCGCAAGGUCAGCCGCAGUGAAUAGGCCCAAGCGACUGUUUAUCAAAAACACAGGUCUCUGCAAAAUCGAAAGAUGACGUAUAGGGGCUGACGCCUGCCCGGUGCUGGAAGGUUAAGAGGAGAGGUUAGCGCAAGCGAAGCUUUGAAUUGAAGCCCCAGUAAACGGCGGCCGUAACAAUAACGGUCCUAAGGUAGCGAAAUUCCUUGUCGGGUAAGUUCCGUCCCGCACGAAAGGCGUAACGAUUUGGGCACUGUCUCAACGAGAGACUCGGUGAAAUUAUAGUACCAGUGAAGAUGCUGGUUACCCGCGACAGGACGGAAAGACCCCAUGGAGCUUUACUGCAGUUUGAUAUUGCGUGUUUGUAUCACAUGUACAGGAUAGGUAGGAGCCGAAGAUACCGGGACGCCAGUCUCGGAGGAGGCAACGGUGGGAUACUACCCUUGUGAUAUGACCACUCUAACCCGCUGCUCUUAGCGAGCAGGGAGACAGUGUCAGACGGGCAGUUUGACUGGGGCGGUCGCCUCCAAAAAUGUAACGGAGGCGCCCAAAGGUUCCCUCAGAAUGGUUGGAAAUCAUUCGUAGAGUGUAAAGGCAGAAGGGAGCUUGACUGCGAGACCUACAAGUCGAGCAGGGACGAAAGUCGGGCUUAGUGAUCCGGUGGUUCCGCAUGGAAGGGCCAUCGCUCAACGGAUAAAAGCUACCCUGGGGAUAACAGGCUUAUCUCCCCCAAGAGUUCACAUCGACGGGGAGGUUUGGCACCUCGAUGUCGGCUCAUCGCAUCCUGGGGCUGUAGUCGGUCCCAAGGGUUGGGCUGUUCGCCCAUUAAAGCGGUACGCGAGCUGGGUUCAGAACGUCGUGAGACAGUUCGGUCCCUAUCCGUCGCGGGCGUUGGAAAUUUGAGAGGAGCUGUCCUUAGUACGAGAGGACCGGGAUGGACACACCGCUGGUGUACCAGUUGUUCUGCCAAGAGCAUCGCUGGGUAGCUAUGUGUGGACGGGAUAAACGCUGAAAGCAUCUAAGCGUGAAGCCCCCCUCAAGAUGAGAUUUCCCAUCACUUUAAGUGAGUAAGACCCCUGAGAGAUGAUCAGGUAGAUAGGUUGGGAGUGGAAGUACAGCGAUGUAUGGAGCGGACCAAUACUAAUCGGUCGAGGACUUAACC
This 1412-nucleotide ribosomal RNA is filed under the name metagenome. Its description in RNAcentral is "bacterial LSU rRNA". It matches the Rfam family "Bacterial large subunit ribosomal RNA", at positions 1504 to 2925 of the family's 2925-position model. The record is from RNAcentral.